UGGGUAGUAUCUAUGGAGAGCUACACCUAAUUGUUAUAUUAAAAGAUAAUAUUUUUAAUCGUUGCUCAUAUCGUCAGGAAUGAGACUUUU
RNAcentral lists this non-coding RNA (90 nucleotides) under Clostridium novyi NT. Its description in RNAcentral is "pan motif". It matches the Rfam family "pan motif". Lineage: Bacteria; Bacillati; Bacillota; Clostridia; Eubacteriales; Clostridiaceae. The record is from RNAcentral.